UACACACCGCCCGUCACACCAUGGGAGUUGGUUUUACCCGAAGCUGGUUCUUGGCGAGGUGGCGCCUAAUUGGCGCUAUCGAACCUGGGGUCAGCAACGGGGGAG
Molecule: ribosomal RNA, 105 nt
Filed under: uncultured bacterium
Lineage: Bacteria
Description: partial 16S ribosomal RNA
Source: RNAcentral